This is a non-coding RNA of Equus caballus (horse), 5576 nucleotides long. The record is from RefSeq and is a predicted model, not a curated record. Lineage: Eukaryota; Metazoa; Chordata; Mammalia; Perissodactyla; Equidae.
GCCCGCCUCCCCCAAUACCCUCCCCCGCCCUCUCCCCCUCCCCUCGGCCGGCAGGGGAAGUCGUUCUGACCCCAGGGCUGCCCGGAGGCCUUCUCGGCUCUGUCUCCUGGAAACUCGCCGGGGCUGGGGGCUUCUGCUCGCCCGCUGCGGCCUCGUUAUGAUCUGAACCCCCAGAAGACGUCGGGGAGUCGGGUUUACCGCCAUGUCCCGGGAAGGGACUCGUCUGCAGGCCACAGCCCCAGACUCGUCUUUACGUUUCAAGGCAGGGGUUUUUUACGUGUUUUUAAGAGAGGGAUUUUGUCAGAUUUGGGCAAGGGUGAGUUUGAUUUGCCAAAAACUGAAGAGCAGGAGAGGGCCGGCGGCAAUGUUGAAAGCGUGCGGAAAAACGUAAUCCACCCACUCUCUGUUGUGUUGUGAGCGUUUUCUUUAGUGUUCUUGGACAUUUUGUCUGGGAGCAACUUUUGUACAAGACAUUAGUUAUGCCAAUCAACAUAAGGGUCAUUGUUUCAUUAUCCAAAAACAUCAGUCGGUUUGUGUCAUUUUUCUUCCCCGCCAACGCAUACAUUCCAAUACAUCGGUUGUGAAUUAGAUCAGUUGCCUUACUAGAGACACCUUAAUCAAGCCGCUUUCUCUCUUAUCCGAGAGGCAUUUUAUCCUCUCUUGCUUCAUAUUCUUCGAACACAUAUACACAAACAAAAACUCAAAAUAUUAUGCCUUUUUUCUCUCCUGUCUUCCUUAAUCAUGGGCAUGUUUAAUUCCCCUUUAAAACUCUUCCCUGAGUCAAAAGUGCGAUGCAUAAGUACCUGUAAAGAAUUCCUCUGGAAUUACCUUGAGGGGAUCCUAGUAUAUAAGCGUUGUGGAUUUAUUAAUUCAACAUUUAUUAGGCUCUCGUUGUGCUCAUCUUUGUAGAUGCAGAUUAAGAUGUCAUGCGUUGCCUCUAAGGAGCUAAGAUGAGGGACAAGGAAAAUGUCAGGUGGUGCUAGGAGUUUGCGGAGUGAUUAACACGGAUGACUCCCUAAUGUGCUUCUCUCCAGCUUUCUUCUCGCAACUGAGCUUCUGAGCACUUACUCCUUCCAAAUGAACACAGAAACAGAGCAAUGGCUUCUCCAUCAUGCCAGAAAUGGAAACAAUGAAGAAGUAAGACAGCUAUUAGAAACCAUGGAAAGGAAUGAAGUAAUUGCUGACAUUCAUUGUAAAGGAGUCAGUAUAUAAUGCUGAUACUGCUGUUAUUAAUGGGAGUGGACAGACAGCAAAAGAAGUCACUCAGGACAAAGAAAUCAGAAACAUGCUUGAAGUUACAAAAUAAUGUCCACUUGUCAGACAUCUUCAGCUGUAGAAAGGACUGAACAAAGAAAUAUUGAAGAAUUACGUUUAGCAGCAGCAAGAGAAGGCAAAACAGCACAACUCCUACUCUGGUAGGUAUUAUUUUGCCACUGACCAGAGAGAAAAGGUAGUCUGAGGGAACAACCCUGGACCAGCACAGAGGGUCUUGGUCCCAGUCCUGCCCGUGCCUGUGUGUGGCUUUGAGUAAGGCAACCAGUCAGCAGUGUGGAAAUACAAUGGAAAGAAUGUAGAUUUGCCACCAAAAAGACCUGAGGAAGAAAAUCAUGCUGACUGAACAGAUCACAAUAUCCCACUCCUCAAAGACCUGGAAAUGGAAAACAAAACUUGUGUUUUUCUUUGGUAAGUCUUCUAACUUCCAGCCCUAACCUUGCAUUCUCACCUCUAAUGGAUCUACCUUGGCUCAUUCUGGCUGUUUUUUUUUUUUUUUAAAUUUUUUCCUAAGCCAAUCUCUGGUUUGUCUGUGUUUUUACUACUAGUUGUUUGAUUUGUCUGAUUAUUAUCUUCAGAUUCUUGGCUCCAAAUAUCACAAAGUGCACCCUGGUAAAUUUAAAUAGAAGACCAAUUCACCAGAAUGGUAACAAUAAAUGGUAGACUGGGGAACCAUGCUUUGGCAGGGACCUACGGAGGGCAGACACAGAUAGGAUCAGCCCACAGGAGCAGUCUGCAUAGGAACACUGGACUCCCCCAUCACUCUGUGCUCUGCAAAAGCCACACAGCAAAUCAUCUCUAAUCCCACCAGUCAUUCCCUGAAGUUUCCUAUUUUCUGCAUUAAGCUUCUAGUUGGCUGCAUAUAGUCACUGACUCAUAUUCCAGCUACCAGGGAGAAGACAGACAGACUCUCCAUCCCGCUUUGGUCUCCUCAGAGGGAGGUGUGUCUUGCCUCCUUCUUGUCCUGAGAUCCCCUGAUCCAUUGCUAUCCACUCCUGCUGCCUGUUUCUCGAGAGAACGGACUGAAAAGAAUAAAGCAACACUGCUGCAAAGAUACUAUCACGGGUGGUGCAAUGGCCAGUCCCAUCAAAGGACUUGUUACCUUAUUUUCAAAUGGCACAACUGCCUACCACUUAUUCCUGGCAACAUGGAAAGGAACUUGACAUCUCGAUACUCAGAGAAAAUGAAGACAGUGAAGGGAGGUAAUAUCUUGGGAGCCAGAAGUCUAGUCUCUGGUAAAUGACACUCAUGUCUAUUUGUUUACUAUUUACACACUCUCUCAUUUGUUUUAGAUUCAAGCACCUAACAAUAAUUCAUAGUCUGUGAAAUUCUGCCUCGAAUAAACACAUAGGAAUUGGGGACUUAUUGCACAGGGUUUCUUUAAACUGUUCCGUACAAGACCCAGCACAGUGCCAUACUCAUUAGAAUUCUUAAUAAUGAGUCAUUGAUGACAAAAACUAUGAGGUGUAUGACGAAAAGAUAAAAAAGAAAUAAAAAAUCAAAACACAGCUACACAGCACUGGUUAAGAUUGAAAAUGUCCACUAAUCUGUAUGCAACAUGAAGUUCUAAGGCAUUUUCACAUACUUGAAAUAUAAACUUGUCAUUUUGAAAAAUUAAAAGGAAUACUACGCCAUUAAAGAUGUAUUGGGUAGACUUGCAGCACGUGUGCGACCAGUUAUGUUAGCGGUGCCAAAAUCGGAGGAGAUGGGCCAGAGAGGAGAAGGGAAGAAAGGUGAGUGAAGCCAAAAAUCUGACAGUGUAACGGGUCCCAAAAUGAAAUAGUAUGCAUACAGCCAAAGAGAAAGUAGAAUUAUAAAUUAAGCCAACAGAAAAUGGUGUGACACCACCAAAAACAUUAGCAAAUACAGCCCCCAAAAAAUAUGAAUAAUGAUAAAAAUGGCGUUUUGAAGUGAAGCAAGUUUAACCAUUUGAAACUUCUUAAAGCUAGUAUGGCAAAGCUAGUCUGCAACCAUAUAUGAACUCUGUUGAUUUAAACCCUGCUUAUAUUACAUAUAGGGAAAGAGAAGGGAAUUUGACACUUAAUGAUCACCUACUAUGUAGCAGUCACUUAAUAUACCUCACUUAAUACUCAUACCCCCAAACCCUACCAUAUUGGGAGCAUUGUGCUCACUUAACUGAUGAGCAAACUAAAGCUUGCAGAGUUAAGUUUCUCAAGAUUAUAUUAGCAAGUUAAUAACAGUAACUAGCAUUCAAAUCACGAUGUGCCAGCUUUCAAAACUUAUCUACCUCAAUUUUUUUUUCCUUUCACAAAUAUUAGAUGGGAUAUGGAGAUCCCUGGUUGCCCCUCAAUGGAUGUUUUUACAAAACUGCUAAUUUUUCCAAACAGGUUCCAUCAAAUUUUUUGACUAAGAAAAGAUCUGUAUCCCCUUCCAAACUGACUUCAAUACUCUACUAAACCAAAGAUUUGUAAGACUGCUCCUUCAUGUCUUGUUCAUCAUAACAUUUCCAGAAUCUACCCCUUCCCAAUUAUGAAACUCCUAAGUGACUUCUUCCUUUAAAGUGGGGUUAGAAAAUUAAGAAUACUUACAAAAUAUACAUAAAAUAGAUUUUAAGACAAGAGCAUCCAUCCAAGUAACUAAUAAACUUAGAAAACGCAUUCUUUGAAAAGUGGCCACAAUUAAGAAGUCAAAGGACAUCUGAGCUCAAUAGGUAGUUUUCUCUGACUAUUGUUUCCAUGGCUCACGAGACCAUGUCCAACAUUAAUAAAACCUAAAAUGAACUAUUGUCAUGUUUCCUGCUUGUAAAAAUCACACAAAUAUUAAAAAAGAAGAAAGUAACAAGGCCUAUCAUAUGUACUUUCCUAGAAUGUCAUACCAUCCAAGACCAAAUGACAUUCAGAAUCACACCACAAAUAUUAUAAGACCAAGAAAACACAAAAAUGCAUUCAGCAGAAUUCAACUUGGUUUAUUAAGUUAGGCGGGAAUCUUGGCUAAUUCUUACAAGAUAAGACUUCCAAUAAGAGUCGAAACCAAAAUCAUUUCAUUUGAUUAUAAAUAUAUAUAUCUUUGUGAGUUGGAAAGGGAACAAGAGGGAGGAAAAUAAUCAAAAAAGAUACGAGUAGGCUUGGUAAAUGCUGGAUGGAAAAGCCAUUCAUUCAACAAAUAUGCACAAACAUCGAAUGUGUACCAGGCUGUGUACUGAGUUUUGGGAUACGGCGGUAAACACAAUGGAAGCAGCAUCUGCUCUCAUGGAGCUCAACAGUUAAUAGGAAGAAUCUACCACCUAGUAAACAAGACUGGUCUUCUCUCCAAAAGUUGGAAAUGAAGCACAGUUAGUCUCUGUUUGAAAGUUUUAGGAUCUUGUGAAGAAACAAGAUAAAACAGCGAGGUAGGUUCUGGCCAAAAGAAAAUCCAAGAUAAACAAGUUCAAAGAAGGGAGAGAACAACAGACCCCCCCUUCUGAUUCUUCCCCUCUGGAGGCAGCCGUAUUGGCUGUGAUAAUUAAUUUUGUGUGUCAACUUGACUGGAUCACAGGGUGCCCAGAUAUUUGGCUAACUGCCAUCUCUGGGUACAUCUCUGAGGGUGUUUCCAAAAGAGACUAGCGUUUGAAUCAGUAGACUGAACAAAGAAGAUGGCCUUCCCCAGUGUGAGCGGGCAUCAUCCAAUCUAUUGAGGGCCUGAACAGAACAAACAGGAAUGAAGGAAUGGAGAAUUUGAUUUCUCUGCCUGAGUGAAUGAGCUGGCACACCAGCCUCCUGCCCUUAGACUGGGACUUACACCAUCGGCCCUCUGAUUCUCAGAACUACACCACCAGUUUUUCUGGGUCACCAGCUUGCAGAUGACAGAGCAUGAGACUUCUCGGCCUCCAUAAUCAUGAGAUCCAAUUUCUUAUAAUCGAUCUCUCUAUACAUAUGUAUGUGAUAUAUAUAUGUGAGAUAUAUACAUAUAUAUAACUCCUAUUGGUUCUGUUUCUCUGGAGAACCCUAUUACAUUGGCUUUUUACUGUCUUGGCCUAGGUCACAACUGUUACUCCAGGGUUUUGCACACCCCUCCUCCUGGAAUACUCUUAAAGCCUUUUAUCACAAAACAAACUCCUGCAAUCCUGAGGUCUCAGCUCAAACAUCACUUCCUCAGUGACAGCCUCCCUGAUCCGCUCACCCACCAAAUAAGGUCUCCCUACAUUCCCUCAGAACUUAUAUUUCACAUUGGUUAACCUCAGUUCACUUGUGAUUAUUUCUUCAGUGUAAAAGUAUGACUUUUUUUUUUAAAGAUUGGCACCUGACGCUAUUGCCGAUCUUUUUUUUUUUUCCUGCUUUUUUUUUUCUCCCCAAAUCCUCCCAGCA